AUUUAAAUAGCUUAAACAUUAGAGCAUAAUAUUGAAGAUAUUAAGGUAAUAAAUAUUUUUAAAUA
RNAcentral lists this transfer RNA (65 nucleotides) under Magicicada cassinii (seventeen-year cicada). RNAcentral's name for it is "Magicicada cassini (seventeen-year cicada) tRNA-Phe". Lineage: Eukaryota; Metazoa; Arthropoda; Insecta; Hemiptera; Cicadidae. The record is from RNAcentral. RNAcentral also lists the same sequence under 3 other names.